This 427-nucleotide small RNA is filed under the name Oryza sativa Japonica Group (Japanese rice). Its description in RNAcentral is "sRNA Os05g0489301". Lineage: Eukaryota; Viridiplantae; Streptophyta; Magnoliopsida; Poales; Poaceae. The record is from RNAcentral.
GAUUGUUUGUCAGUGAUGGCUAAGGCAGGAGGUUCACAAUUUUGAAAUGAAGUAUUAGGAAUUUAAUGUAUGAGGAGCCUCCGGCUAUAGAUAUUUUAGUUUGAUUUAGUUUGGCAAAGAUAUUGUUCUAGUUCAGUAAAUCAGUCCCUUUUAGCGUUUGAAAUAUCUGAAAUUGCCCACCUUUUUUUUUUUUGAAAUUCCAACAUAUAAAAGCUGAGUAAUACACACGUCACAUACCAGCAAAGAUUUAGGGAAGCAUCUAAUUUUAACCAGAGAUUUGUGUUUCCAGCCGGAUUUUUUUUUUCAAAUAAUCUUUUUUCACGCUGUAUAAAAAAGAUGCUGAUGAACACAUCACUACUAAUGCAUACUACACCAGUAAAUACGUCUCCUAACUCACAUUGUCUAAUAUGCUUUGCCUUAUACACGC